ACAAGCAUAGCUCAGUGGGGAGAGCAGCAGAGCCCAGCACUGCGGGUCAGAGGUUCGAUUCCUCUUGUCUGUC
This is a transfer RNA of Naegleria gruberi, 73 nucleotides long. It matches the Rfam family "tRNA". Rfam says of the family: Transfer RNA (tRNA) molecules are approximately 80 nucleotides in length. NCBI's taxonomy places the organism in Eukaryota, Heterolobosea, Eutetramitea, Acrasida, Naegleriidae. The record is from Rfam.